AGGACGAACGCUGGCGGCGUGCUUAACACAUGCAAGUCGAGCGGAAAGGCCCUUCGGGGUACUCGAGCGGCGAACGGGUGAGUAACACGUGAGCAACCUGCCCUUAGCUCCGGGAUAGCUCCGGGAAACCGGAAUUAAUACCGGAUACGACCACGGCCGACAUCUGCUGUGGUGGAAAGGAUUCCGGCUAAGGAUGGGCUCGCGGCCUAUCAGCUAGUUGGUGGAGUAACGGCCCACCAAGGCGACGACGGGUAGCCGGCCUGAGAGGGCGACCGGCCACACUGGGACUGAGACACGGCCCAGACUCCUACGGGAGGCAGCAGUGGGAAUAUUGCGCAAUGGGCGAAAGCCUGACGCAGCGACGCCGCGUGGGGGAUGAAGGCCUUCGGGUUGUAAACCCCUUUCAGCAGGGACGAAGCGAAAGUGACGGUACCUGCAGAAGAAGCGCCGGCUAACUACGUGCCAGCAGCCGC
RNAcentral lists this ribosomal RNA (473 nucleotides) under uncultured bacterium. RNAcentral describes it as "SSU rRNA". It matches the Rfam family "Bacterial small subunit ribosomal RNA", at positions 26 to 518 of the family's 1533-position model. The record is from RNAcentral.